Linepithema humile (Argentine ant) is the source of this 1257-nucleotide non-coding RNA. NCBI's taxonomy places the organism in Eukaryota, Metazoa, Arthropoda, Insecta, Hymenoptera, Formicidae. The record is from RefSeq and is a predicted model, not a curated record.
UCCUUUUCGAUUCGGAACGCGCGAGUAAAAGGUAAACUUUAUUUUAUCCGUAGUUAUCGCAUAAUAGAUAUGUAUAAUUGCAAAUUUUUGUCAGAAAUAUUAAUUAAAGUGGCGGGCAAAUGUCGAAACGUAUUAUUUACCGCGAAUGUUCGCGAUUAACGAUGCUGGCCGUCUCGCGGCCGAACUAUAUAAAGAGGUUAUAAUUUCGGUGAAUAGGCAAAUUUUGAUGCUAGAAAUACACAGAAUGAUCUGUAUCUUCCGUUAAGAAAAUCUAAGACAGACGAAUAAUCUAUAUAGACGCGUUACGUUUUGCGAACGGCAUCGUAAUGAAUUUGCAGUGGUUGGUACGAUUGUACUACAGAGUGCGCUAGGCUUUACUAAUCACUUCCUUUUGGAUUCGGGACUCGCGAAUGAAAAGUAAACUGUUUGUUUUAUCCGUAAUAAUUACAUAGUAGAUAUGUAUAAAUUGCGAAUUUUUGUCGGGAAAGUCAAUUAAAGUGGCAAGCAAACGCCGGAAACCUAUUAUUUACCGCGAAUGUUCGCGAUUAACGAUGCUGACCGUCUCGCGGCCGAACUAUAUAAUCAGGUUAUAAUUUCGGUGAAUAUGCAAAUUUUGAUGCUACAAAUACACAGAAUGAUCUCUAUCUUCCGUUAAGAAAAUCUAUACGCAUGCGCUGUUUAGAAAAUGUUAAAAAUUUAGCUUGUCGAAAUUGAAUCGGAUAAAAUCGGAUUGAAUCGGUAGUUGUGUACGCAUUUGUAGUUGUUGACCUUGCGCGACCGUUAAAACAAUCGUUCGUCUCGCUCGUUCUGAAUGUGUGCGUAGUGUCGAAUAAAUCGUGGAAUGUAGAAGAUAAUAAUAAUCGAAACCAUUAUGUGCGUAGACAUGUUACGGCACGAAACGGGUUUCGCAAACGGCGCAGUAACAAAUUCGCGAUGUAGAUAUAUCCGUAAUUUUCGCGAAGUGAAGUGUGCGGGAGUGCGAUGUCGGUGUUUGUUCGGUAGUGCGAGUAACUAAUUAAUAAGUGCGGGUUUUCGAUGUUCGUCAGUUCUUGGAUGGAGCUGAUGUGAAAAAGCUCAUGGCGGAAUUAGAUAAAAUAAACUGCAAUAUUCUGGUUGCUUUGAUGGAGUCAAUGUGGAGUGCAACGCAAUGUGGAAUACAAUCUGGAGUACAAGGCACAACCUGCAGCAGAUGGAGCACACUACAAUACCCUAACUGGUACAGCUAUGAGGGCGUACUUAGGUAGGGUACAAUGAACA